This 528-nucleotide long non-coding RNA is filed under the name Rattus norvegicus (Norway rat). RNAcentral describes it as "long non-coding RNA NONRATT006274". The record is from RNAcentral. Lineage: Eukaryota; Metazoa; Chordata; Mammalia; Rodentia; Muridae.
GAAGAAGGUAAGGACACCCGGCUGGCUUCAAACUUGACGUUGACUAAAGCUGUUUCGAAGCCUCCGGUUUUUGUUUGGGAUCCUCAUCCUCACUGCGCCUGCGCAGGCGUAAGAGUCAGUGAACCCGGGUUUGUGAGAGCCUGGAAGGGAGCUGCCCAGGGCGGUGCCGGCGCUGUCAGCGGUGGCACGGCGCGGUGCUGGGCCAGGUUUCUCCGAUUUGCAGAUCCGAGCUUUAGGCUUUUAAACCCGCAGGGCUGCCACCGACCUCUUUCACACGUGUUUUAUUCGCUGGCAGUGAGCGCCUGUAGCCUGAGGCACCACAUCUCUGUCAGGCAGACAUUCUCAUCUUUCCAAUUUCCUUUGGACUUGUGAAUAUAAUAUUAAUAAACGCCUGGCCUCGUUUCCUAAGUCUCAUGCUUCUCUGUGAAGCCGUGCAGCUGACCUGAUUCACUCUCCAACUCAGUGGCAGGCACGUCUCUGGCUCCUUGUCAAUCUACUUUGUAGGGCAUUGGGAUGGUAAGUGGGUCU